RNAcentral lists this transfer RNA (65 nucleotides) under Pseudocuneopsis sichuanensis. RNAcentral's name for it is "tRNA-Cys". The record is from RNAcentral. Lineage: Eukaryota; Metazoa; Mollusca; Bivalvia; Unionida; Unionidae.
GCCUUAUAGUAUAUACCCAACAAUUACAGUAAACUGCAACUUUACCAAAGCCAAUCGCUAAGGCA